Nannospalax galili (Upper Galilee mountains blind mole rat) is the source of this 89-nucleotide small nucleolar RNA. Ensembl annotates it as small nucleolar RNA, C/D box 12. NCBI's taxonomy places the organism in Eukaryota, Metazoa, Chordata, Mammalia, Rodentia, Spalacidae. The record is from Ensembl.
GCCAAUGCAGCUGAUGACAUAACUUUUCCCCGUCAGAUCGACAGUGUUGAUCUAAUGAACUAAUAGCCAGUUUUGUCUGAUGCAUUGGU